GAUGAACGCUGGCGGCGUGCCUAAUACAUGCGAGUCGAGCGAACGGACGAGAAGCUUGCUUUUCUGAUGUUAGCGGCGGACGGGUGAGUAACACGUGGAUAACCUACCUAUAAGACUGGGAUAACUUCGGGAAACCGGAGCUAAUACCGGAUAAUAUUUUGAACCGCAUGGUUCAAAAGUGAAAGACGGUCUUGCUGUCACUUAUAGAUGGAUCCGCGCUGCAUUAGCUAGUUGGUAAGGUAACGGCUUACCAAGGCAACGAUGCAUAGCCGACCUGAGAGGGUGAUCGGCCACACUGGAACUGAGACACGGUCCAGACUCCUACGGGAGGCAGCAGUAGGGAAUCUUCCGCAAUGGGCGAAAGCCUGACGGAGCAACGCCGCGUGAGUGAUGAAGGUCUUCGGAUCGUAAAACUCUGUUAUUAGGGAAGAACAUAUGUGUAAGUAACCGUGCACAUCUUGACGGUACCUAAUCAGAAAGCCACGGCUAACUACGUG
Molecule: ribosomal RNA, 497 nt
Filed under: uncultured bacterium
Lineage: Bacteria
Description: partial 16S ribosomal RNA
Rfam family: Bacterial small subunit ribosomal RNA
Source: RNAcentral